CCAAUUAAACCCAAUUCACUUUUUAAAUAGUUAAAUAACAUAAAAGCAGUCUGAAACAUGAUAUAGCAAUACUAAGUAGCGAAUAAUGCCAAUAAAGUGCGGAAGUACAACCCAACACAGCCCUAACCGGGGUGUCACAAGUCACGAGUAUCUACUAGGGUAUAAAUACAACUGAAAGUCUGAGUGCACAAAUACAGACUAAUGAAUGAAGAGAGAGAGAGAGAAGCAGUGCUACGAACACCGGCAGCUACCUUGAUAAACUCCGAUGACUCUAUCUCCGAUCAGCCAAAACCCGCUACCGGGUGUGUAAAUACCUGAAUCUGCACACAAGGUGUAGGGAGUAAAGUGAGUACUCCAAUUCAGUGAGUAAUAAUUAUAAGUGAAGUCUGAAUGGUAAGAAAUCACGUAAAGCAUAUCAAGAUGUUGUAUAGAAGCAGUUCAAAACCAGUAAGAAAGCAGUGAACUGUAAAAAUCUCUUAAACAUCUUAGCUUAGUUUAAACUUCUUUGAAAAUGAAUUUUUCAACAGUUACGCAAAUGAAUGCAAAACAGGUAGUGCAGAUAAGCACAGAAAUCCUCCCCUCUGGCACAAAUACCAUAGUUUAGUAGGUAAAUGACAGGUAAAUAUGAAAGAUAAACACAUAAAGGUUCGCCCCUCAGGCACAAUAUCAACAACUUCGCCCCUCGGGCAAUGUCUCAGAACAAUACCAGCCCCUCGGGCAAUCACAUGAACGGUACCAGCGGGUAAUCACAUAGAACAAUACCAGCUCCUCGGGCUAUCACAUAGAACAAUAUCAGCCCCUCGGGCUAUAUCUCACAUCACAAUGGGUACCCGUGCUCACUAGGGGUGUACAAACUCCGGGAGGGGCCCCUUACGGCCCAAGCGCAAUAUCAAGCCACCUCGUGGCAUCACAAACCGGCUCUCGGCCUCAUAUCAAUAUCAACAAGCCACCUCGUGGUGUACAUAUCUCAGGCCCUCGGCCUCAUAAUCAAAUCAGUAUCUCACUACUGCGUCGUGCAGCUCGACCCAAAAGUAUCCUCACAAUACAGGCCCUUGGCCUUACUCAGUCAAAAAUCACCUAAGCCAUUCGGGUAACAGUAAAACAUGAUGCUCAACCCAAAAUAUUAUUUGAAAUAUCAUUUCAAGUGUUAAAGAAAAAUAAACUUGGCUGAGUAUUGAAAAUAGUGGAAAAUAACAUGACUGAGUUCAAGUAUAAAGUCAAAACAGUGAGGAAAUAUCAACAAAAAAGCCCCGUAGGGUUCAAAUAGCUGGCACUAGUCCCAAAUAUGACAUUCAGCCCAAAUAAUGAUGGUAGCAAAUAGUUUUCAAUCAAAUACACGGUAAAAUCAUAAAUCGGGACGGACCAAGUGACAAUCCCCAAUAGUGCAUGACCCCACACUCGUCAUCAAGCAUGUGCCUCACCUCAAUAUAGCACCACGAUGUGCAAUCCGGGGUUUCAAACCCUCAGACCAUCAUUUACAAUCAUUACUCAGUUCGAACCAGCUAAAUCUCUAGCUCGCGACUCCUUUGCACCUCGAAUCGGCCUCCACGCGCGUCGAUCUAUACAAAAUCAGAACGUGGACGUCAAAAUAUGCUAAGGGAACAAAGCCCAAGUGAAAACAAUCAAAUAUGACACAAUUCCCGAAAUUACCAAAAUCUGAGCCCCGAGCCCACGUCUUAGAAUCAGGUAGAAUUUAUAUUUUCAAAAUUCUCAUACCCUCACGAGUCUAACCAUACCAAAAUUAUCCAAUUUCGGUACCAUUUGGUCCUUCAAAUCAUCAUUUUAUAUUUUUGAAAGAUUCCACAAAUUUUCUUCGCAAAUUACAUCCCAAAUCACGAAUUAAAUGAUAGAUUCAUGAACUCUAGCCAAAUCUGAGUUACAAUCACUUACCCCAAUGAAUUUCUUGAAAAACCUUCGAAAAAUCGCCAAAAUCCGAGCUCUCUAGGUCAAAAUAUUAAAUAAAACCCAAAACCUCGUAUUUAUAGAGUACCCCACAUAUUUCCACCUCUGCGGACCGCACAAAAACGACCGCGGUCCACACAAAAAUGAUUGUGGCCGCAUAUAUUUUCAUCUGCAGUGACAGGCUUUAGUAUUUUGGCCAUAACUUUCGCUACAGAUGCCCAUAUUGCAAUAUCAUUAUUUUUCUGGAAACUAGACACGAAGGGCUACAACGUUUGUUUUAAAUCAUCUCAAAAUUCCUUGUAGAUCAAAAGAUAUGAGCUUCCGAAGUAGGACCAGUGAAAUGUUCCCCCAUCGCGGCCGCACUGCAUUUUGUGCGGUCCGCACAACACCUACCGCGGACGAACUUCUUUUUGUGCAGACCGCGCUGGUAGGUUCUGAGGCCUGCAACCCUUUUGGACCUGCUACAACUAUGAUUUUCGGCCUAAAAUAUCCCGGAACCUACCCGGAAACCCCGGAACUUCAAACCAAUUGUACCAACACAUCCCAUGACAUCGUUCAAACUUUUUCAAAACUUCGAAACGCUCAUAACAACAUCAAAUUACCUAUUUAACAUAGGAUUUAAGCCUAAAAACACCACGAACUCUUAAAUUAUGCUUUCGAUCAAAAAGUCUAUCAAAUCUCGUCCGAACGACUUGAAAUUUUGCACACACAUCCCAAAUGACACAACAAAGCUAUUUCAACUCUCGGAAUUUCAUUCCGACCCCUAUAUCAAAAUCUCGCCUAUCAACGGGAAAACGCCAAAAAUUCAAUUUCUCCAAUUCAAGCCUAAACCUUUCACGAACCUCCAAAAUGCAUUCUAAUCACGCUCGUAAGUCCCAAAUCACCUAACAGAGCUAACCCAACCAUAAAAAGUUCGAUCCGAGAUCAUAUACAAAUAAGUCAAAUCUUAGUCAAACCUUUCGAAUUUCAAGCUUCAACUAAGAACUGUUUUCUUCCGAAUUUAUUCUGAUUACCCUGAAAACCAAAACCAACGAUUUAUAUAAGUCAUAAUACAUCACACGGGGCAAGUCAUGCCCGAAAACUGGCGAUCAAUGUGCAAAAGCUCAAAACGACCGGUUAGGUCGUUACAACAAAAAUCGAAAAUCUUGAAGAAAAUUAUGAAGACCACAAUUUUAGAAGGGGAAAGAACAUAGUAAUGGUUAACAUACAACACAAACUAAUUAGAGAAUAUUGGAACUAGAACACAAACUUGGAGUUGUAUGGCCAAACAUUAUAUAGACUAACCAGCUCUAGGCUAUCAAAAACCAAAGUUUUUUUCAGUGAAGCUCAAGUGGACUCCAUAUAAUCCCAGCUUCAUGUUGUAUUUUUUAUUCUAUGUUUCUCUCAAGGAUCUAGUUACUUAAAAUUCCUAUCUCUUAAAUUGCACUCUGCUUUUACAAUAAAAUGCGAGUAUAGCUACAGUUUUCAUUAACACGUUUAUUAUAUUUGUAGGAAAAAAAUUGGGGAGGAAGAUGAGUCAUGAUGAGUUCUUCAUGGGACUCACAUCCGGAAGAAAAAGGCACCGGCAGAUCCAACUAGAUGGGUCGAGGAUCGAGCAGAGACUACACAUGUACGUUUCAUAACUACUAUAAAUAUUUCUAAUAUUAUAUAGUUAGUAUUUUUUUAUCUUCUAAAUAAAAAGUCGCUACAAGAUCAAUUUGGAGGGGUAUACUCAGAGAUUGCUACUGAAUGAGCAAGGCGAGCGACCGCCCAUUUCAGACGAAGAAGAGAAGGGGAUAUGGUUGAGUAUUGUCAGUGGUCCUAAAAAGGGGAUAACAUACGGCCUUUUAGAUAAAUCGUUUCGGUGCUACAUGGCUGGAUUGCAAGGUAUAGGGACUUCCGCCCAAGGAGAGGCGAUUGAUAGUUCAGCUAUAUCGUCUAUGGAAGAGAAGAUCGCAAAACUGACAGUAGAGCUUGAAGAGACCAAGGCUAGAGAAAAGAAGAAUUUUGAUACCCUUCAAGGUGAGCUAGAAAGGAGGGACAAACAAUUUGAUCUCCUUCAAGGUCAGCUGGCCAAUCUUCUUGCUUGUGGUGCUUUCCCUAUUCCCCGGUCUCCUCAUCCUUCCCCACCUGUCGGUGAUGAAGGUCCUAGGACCGAAAAUGAAGAUGAUGCUACAUAAAAAAACACAUUGCAUGUUGUGUAUUGUUAAACAAAGUUGUGAACUUAUCAAUAUUUUGUUGUUGGUUAUUUGAAUGAUGAUUAUAUUGUUAUUAAACACUUUAGUAGUUGUUGUUGUGGUUAUUAGUUGUUGUGGUUGUGGUUAUUAGUUAUUGGUUAAUUGUUGUUGUUGGUGGUUAUUAGUUGUUAUUUUGUUGAGUUUUCAUGGUUGAAUGGCAGUAAUGUAAGCUGCCAUUAUAGGAUGUAUAUUGGUUUAAAUUGGCAGGUAGUGUAGCUUAAAAGCAUCCAUUUUCUGCCCAGUUUUUACCCAGAUUUGCGACCGAAUUAGGUCGGAAAUAAAAAAAAUUCCCAAAAAUUCAUAAUUUCCUACCUAAUUCGGUCGGAAAUUUAAAAUAAAUUCCCUAGAUUAUUGAAAUUUCCAAUCGAAUUCGUUCGGAAAUUAUAAAUUUAUAUUUAUUUUUUAAAUAAAUUAACAAUUUACAAAUAAUUAUUUAAUUAAAUAAUAUUAUUAUUUUUUAAAGGUUUCGACCAAAUUCGGUCCGAAAACUAAAAUUAAAAAUAAAUAAAUAAUAAUAUUUUCCGACCGAUUUCGGUAAGAAAUUUGAAUUUUAAAAAAAAUAUUAAUAAUUUCCGACCGAUUUCGGUCGGAAAAUAAAGUUUGACUGCCAGUCAGUGCAUUGGAUUUUAUCGAUCGAUUGCAAUCGAAAAUUUUCGACCAAUUGCGGUUCGGUCUACGUUUGCGACCAUUGUUUUUCUACCCAAAUAAAAACGGUCGGAAAUCACCUGACUUUUAGUUGUGACAAUAUCAAACAAACUCUCACAAGAAAAAAAAUAACCUGCAUUAUUGAAAUUUUUUGUAGGUGUAGAACGAAUGUCAUUAGCACAACAUAAAACAAUUCUCUCAUCAAUUCAAUAAUAUAAUUCUGCCCAGUCUUUGAUUACUAAAGUUGGCGUGGCUUUUAGUAACUAAAUAACCAAGAUUAAGAUGUAUCAUGAAAGAAUUUUUUUAGUGUUAUCUGAUAGGUGCCCUAUUUCAAUCUUUAUGUCAAAACUAUUUUCAUGUACUACAAAUUAUCUCUCCCUUAUAACAAAAGGAAUCAUUAAUUACAUAGACAAAAGAUAAUAAACUUUAAAUAGAAGCUAAUUCAUCUGACAAGUUAUACGAUUUCCUAGCAUUUUUUGAGUCAAAUAAAGAAAAUGAACUAAUACAUUAUAUUUUCAAGCUUCAAUUUGACAGGUCUUAGGUGCUUCUUGAAUUCAAGUAAAAGCUAGUGGAAAUUAUUUCAAGCUUUAUAUUCAUAUUAUUCUUUAUAUUAAACAUGUGACCUUUUACCUAUAACAAUUUCAUCGAAGCUGUCUGCAUCCAUGUAAUUCAUUAAAUUUUACGAAGGUAAACUGAAAUCUCUAGAGCUCUUGCUCAAUUCUUGAAUCAAUAAAAAAAAUUUAAGAGAAAAUGAUUUGUUUAUGUGGAUAUAUCUUUGACAGAUAUUAUAAAAUGAUUAUUCCUUUUGUGCAUUAAAUAUACGUAUAUAAGUAUAUUUAUUUCUAUUAUAAGAGACUCAAAUUUAAUACUUUGCAAUUAUAUUCUUACUUAAAGAAUGUAAAAAAAAUAUAUACACAGAGAUAUGAAGCAGUAAUUGCACCAACCAAAGGUCACUCUUUUAUUGAAUUCAGAUAAAAUCGCAAACCUGGAAAGAGAAUAUCCCCAAAGCCAAUCAUGACAUAGCCAUAAUAAGGAUUAGAAGAUUAGAUAUAUAGUCGAGAACUCUUAGAAGCUACAAAAAUUUUAAAAAAAGAACUGAGUCAUAUUUCACCCCAUACAGUUUAAAGGAAAAGAUAUAUAGUAAAACUAUUUAAGAAAUAAAAGUUUAUCGCAAAGAACAAUCAGAAGGGAACAUAAACAAAAUCCUAGAAUAUUGGAUACAGUGAUACAAGGAAUACCAACCAAAAAAAUCUCAAAAAUAAGGAAGAGAUAAUCAAAUCACAAAAUCAAAGAGAGGCGAUUUACCUCUAGCAGUAGUCGAAAUAAGAGAAAACAGAAACUGAAGGGAAAAAUUAAAAUACUGAAGAGCAAAGGAAGAAUUUUACCUUGGGCGAGGGGAGGAAGAAAAGGAGAAGAAGAAGA
Molecule: long non-coding RNA, 6185 nt
Filed under: Nicotiana tabacum (common tobacco)
Lineage: Eukaryota; Viridiplantae; Streptophyta; Magnoliopsida; Solanales; Solanaceae
Description: long non-coding RNA (NTAB_LNC000378)
Source: RNAcentral